This is a long non-coding RNA of Cornus florida, 1087 nucleotides long. RefSeq lists it as uncharacterized. Lineage: Eukaryota; Viridiplantae; Streptophyta; Magnoliopsida; Cornales; Cornaceae. The record is from RefSeq and is a predicted model, not a curated record. The transcript is spliced from 3 exons.
CUCUAACUUUCCUAAUUGCACAAUAGUCCCUCGAAGAAAAUAUCUAAAAAGAUAAUCGCACUAUUGUCCCAAAUGAAAAUAUCUCCAAAAGAUAUUCGCAUAAAGGCUUCCAAAAAAGAAAAUGUUCUCAAACUUAAUUGCACAUAAAACCCUAAAUAAUAAAAGAUGAAACAAAAACAAGUGCAACACAAAUUGUAAAUGAAAGAACUGUCGAGAACUAUUCCCGAGCAUUUGACUCGGUCCCGUUCGACAAGACUUGAACCCCAAAAAAAAUAAACGGAAAAAAAAAAAUUUCAGAAAAAUCAAAAAAGGGACCGGUUUCUACAAAUCAUGUUUAGUAAAAUACUUUUAUUUUUUAUCUUUUAGGAAGUACUUUCAUAUCUAAUGAAGAAAGAGAGUGAAGUUUUCUUACUUUGUAUGCUUUCUCUGCUGUAGCGGAGAAUUACUUCUAGCUACUGUAGCGGAAGGACCAACUUAAAAAUUUACGCAAUUAAAUAUCGUUAUAACACAGAUUCUCUCUCACGCAAAACCCCUUUCUUUCUCUUAUGCAUUGCAAACCCCUCUAUCUAUCAUAUUGGUGACACCACAACCAUCAGUCGAUCAGCAACAUCACCCACAACCAUCAGUCGAUCAGCAACAUCACCCACAACUAGUCGAUCAGUGACGCCACCAACAACCAUUCAAUCAGCAACAACGAUGACAGGGUUCCAUUAUUCUCAACUCCUGAUGGUUGACAUUCUCCUUUUUCAUGCUCUAUGCUUGACAAAUUGCCCGGAAGAACUAGUAUGGAAGAGUUUUAAGGUCUAUGGCUUCUUAUUGCAUUGGAGGGACGGUGGAUAAUAUGGCAAAGAUACAUGUAAUGCAUAUAGUAGAUGACAACUCGUGAAGCCAACAUUUAAGACAAGACUUGAAAUUAUAUAUCUAGGCAACUUCUUCUUCUUCUUCUUCUUCUUCUUCUUUUGUUUUUUGUCUUCUUCUUUUUGAUAGGAGAUAGAAAAAAUAAUCCUUUUUUUAGAAUGUAUAUAACCUGAAAUUGUAUGAUUUUGUAUUAAUCACAAUUUCAAAUAUUAAUUAAUGAUACGAGGCA